AGGACGAACGCUGGCGGCGUGCCUAAUACAUGCAAGUCGAACGAACUCUGGUAUUGAUUGGUGCUUGCAUCAUGAUUUACAUUUGAGUGAGUGGCGAACUGGUGAGUAACACGUGGGAAACCUGCCCAGAAGCGGGGGAUAACACCUGGAAACAGAUGCUAAUACCGCAUAACAACUUGGACCGCAUGGUCUGAGUUUGAAAGAUGGCUUCGGCUAUCACUUUUGGAUGGUCCCGCGGCGUAUUAGCUAGAUGGUGGGGUAACGGCUCACCAUGGCAAUGAUACGUAGCCGACCUGAGAGGGUAAUCGGCCACAUUGGGACUGAGACACGGCCCAAACUCCUACGGGAGGCAGCGGUAGGGAAUCUUCCACAAUGGACGAAAGUCUGAUGGAGCAACGCCGCGUGAGUGAAGAAGGGUUUCGGCUCGUAAAACUCUGUUGUUAAAGAAGAACAUAUCUGAGAGUAACUGUUCAGGUAUUGACGGUAUUUAACCAGAAAGCCACGGCUAACUACGUGCCAGCAGCCGCGGUAAUACGUAGGUGGCAAGCGUUGUCCGGAUUUAUUGGGCGUAAAGCGAGCGCAGGCGGUUUUUUAAGUCUGAUGUGAAAGCCUUCGGCUCAACCGAAGAAGUGCAUCGGAAACUGGGAAACUUGAGUGCAGAAGAGGACAGUGGAACUCCAUGUGUAGCGGUGAAAUGCGUAGAUAUAUGGAAGAACACCAGUGGCGAAGGCGGCUGUCUGGUCUGUAACUGACGCUGAGGCUCGAAAGUAUGGGUAGCAAACAGGAUUAGAUACCCUGGUAGUCCAUACCGUAAACGAUGAAUGCUAAGUGUUGGAGGGUUUCCGCCCUUCAGUGCUGCAGUUAACGCAUUAAGCAUUCCGCCUGGGGAGUACGGCCGCAAGGCUGAAACUCAAAGGAAUUGACGGGGGCCCGCACAAGCGGUGGAGCAUGUGGUUUAAUUCGAAGCUACGCGAAGAACCUUACCAGGUCUUGACAUACUAUGCAAAUCUAAGAGAUUAGACGUUCCCUUCGGGGACAUGGAUACAGGUGGUGCAUGGUUGUCGUCAGCUCGUGUCGUGAGAUGUUGGGUUAAGUCCCGCAACGAGCGCAACCCUUAUUAUCAGUUGCCAGCAUUAAGUUGGGCACUCUGGUGAGACUGCCGGUGACAAACCGGAGGAAGGUGGGGAUGACGUCAAAUCAUCAUGCCCCUUAUGACCUGGGCUACACACGUGCUACAAUGGAUGGUACAACGAGUUGCGAACUCGCGAGAGUAAGCUAAUCUCUUAAAGCCAUUCUCAGUUCGGAUUGUAGGCUGCAACUCGCCUACAUGAAGUCGGAAUCGCUAGUAAUCGCGGAUCAGCAUGCCGCGGUGAAUACGUUCCCGGGCCUUGUACACACCGCCCGUCACACCAUGAGAGUUUGUAACACCCAAAGUCGGUGGGGUAACCUUUUAGGAACCAGCCGCCUAAGGUGGGACAGAUGAUUAGGGUG
RNAcentral lists this ribosomal RNA (1491 nucleotides) under Lactiplantibacillus pentosus. Its description in RNAcentral is "bacterial SSU rRNA". It matches the Rfam family "Bacterial small subunit ribosomal RNA". Lineage: Bacteria; Bacillati; Bacillota; Bacilli; Lactobacillales; Lactobacillaceae. The record is from RNAcentral.